This 465-nucleotide ribosomal RNA is filed under the name Vreelandella stevensii. Its description in RNAcentral is "partial 16S ribosomal RNA". It matches the Rfam family "Bacterial small subunit ribosomal RNA", at positions 338 to 795 of the family's 1533-position model. Lineage: Bacteria; Pseudomonadati; Pseudomonadota; Gammaproteobacteria; Oceanospirillales; Halomonadaceae. The record is from RNAcentral.
CCUACGGCGAGCAGCAGUGGGGAAUAUUGGACAAUGGGCGAAAGCCUGAUCCAGCCAUGCCGCGUGUGUGAAGAAGGCCUUCGGGUUGUAAAGCACUUUCAGUGGGGAAGAAAGCCUUGGGGCUAAUACCCUCGAGGAAGGACAUCACCCACAGAAGAAGCACCGGCUAACUCCGUGCCAGCAGCCGCGGUAAUACGGAGGGUGCGAGCGUUAAUCGGAAUUACUGGGCGUAAAGCUCGCGUAGGCGGUCUGAUAAGCCGGUUGUGAAAGCCCCGGGCUCAACCUGGGAACGGCAUCCGGAACUGUCAGGCUAGAGUGCAGGAGAGGAAGGUAGAAUUCCCGGUGUAGCGGUGAAAUGCGUAGAGAUCGGGAGGAAUACCAGUGGCGAAGGCGGCCUUCUGGACUGACACUGACGCUGAGGUGCGAAAGCGUGGGUAGCAAACAGGAUUAGAUACCCCAGUAGUC